Long non-coding RNA from Puntigrus tetrazona (Sumatra barb), 478 nucleotides. RefSeq lists it as uncharacterized. The record is from RefSeq and is a predicted model, not a curated record. Lineage: Eukaryota; Metazoa; Chordata; Actinopteri; Cypriniformes; Cyprinidae. The transcript is spliced from 3 exons.
GCGCGGGGCUCGCCGAGAUAUCGCCAGCAAACACAGCUCGACAGCGUGCUUUUGUGGCUCAAAGCAUAGGCCUAAAAUGCGCUGGAUUCAGGAGAGUUUUUAGCCAGACAGGAGACGUGAGAGACACAGACGGAGGAAUCCGUGGUAAAAUGCAGGUCAAGCUUCGCUCACAUUCAAACCUCCUCAUAAAGUUUUCAAUACAGCGUUGAGAGACAGUCGAGUUUGCUAUUAGAGCAAGAGGUUUGAAGCUAUAGGAAAGAUCCCUCUGAAAGGUUUUACCAUCGGCCAUGUUGCACUGAGACUGAUACUCGAGGCGUUUUAGGUUCCUCAUAAGGCUGCAACCCACUGGAGAACCCCUUGUGUAUUGUGUACUUGAAGGAACUUUUUUUUUUUCAGGUGCAUCAAAGCCUUUACCUAACCAGUCUUUAGAGAAUUUUAGAAACAGCUCUUUAGAGAAACGGUCUAUUAUUAAUCUUCU